This is a long non-coding RNA of Haemorhous mexicanus (house finch), 1718 nucleotides long. RefSeq lists it as uncharacterized. The transcript has 4 exons. The record is from RefSeq and is a predicted model, not a curated record. NCBI's taxonomy places the organism in Eukaryota, Metazoa, Chordata, Aves, Passeriformes, Fringillidae.
UCUCUUCCCAGUCACAGCUAACAUAAAAACAUUUCUACUGAUUAGUUGCACUUUUUUAUUUGUCCAAACACACAGCAGCCCAAGCCUGUGUUUGUGUGUGUACUCAAAUGUCUUCCAAAAGCCACUCCUACCACCCCUGCAAAAUAGUUGGAGGGUGACACAAGAGUGAUAAACAUCUGGCCAUGGGAAUGCUCUGGAGUGAAUGGAGUUGUGAAUGGGGACCAGUGGCACUGAAGUAGUGGUGAUUUCACUCCACAUGAGACUAAAAUAACCCAGGCUUUGAUGCCCCUGUGUCCCAAGGGACAGGCAGUGACCCUGAGCACCCAGCUCAGUAAAGUCCCUCGCUCGAGGAAGAGGCUUCAGUAGAUGCUUCAUCCAAACUUUUCUGCUGGCAUGAAUCAAGGCUGGAUUUGUGAUUUCAGUGUUCACACUGAAAUCUGUGCUAAGUGUUGACUCACAGAGGGAAGCAGAGGUUUGUGAUCUGUGGCAGGAAUCAGCUGUCUUGUUGGUCAAAGCUUCCAGCUUGAUGACGGGGUAUUUGUUGGAAGAUAUAAGAAAUUCUGCUGCUUGGGACUGAAAUAAUGUCACUUAAUUGCUAAGACACUGGGAAAGCCUCAGAGAUUGAGUCCAUACCAACUGCUGGUUCACAUGCUGGUGAAAUCUUGCUGUUAUCGGAGACCCCAAAAUCCUCGGCACAGGAGAAAGAGCUACAGAGAGAGAAUGGAGCAAGGCAGGCCCCAGAGCACUGGUUGUGCUGCCUGGUGUGUCCCAGAGGUGUGUGCUGUCUUGGAGCAGCACCUCAGCUACUUCUCCUGCCCUCUGAAGACUUGUGUGAAAAUGACCAAGAUCCAAAGGGCCCGGGCUGCUCCUGGAAGAGGAAAAGCCUGUUGGUGUUGCUUGAAUGAAGGGGCUGAGGACAGUGCCUGAGCGUCUGCAUUCGCAUCCUGGGAAAGCAGCUGGAGAUUGAUCCUGGUUUGGUCAGCCACUGAUGAGCUAAUUUUUAACACCAACCAUGAACAUCUCACCGCUGGAACUGUAGUGUGCCGGGUCCUGAGCAAGCUGUGAGAGAGCAAAUCACUCCAGCAGCGUGGAUCGUUCUUCUGCACCCAUUGUUAUGGAAAUCGCCUUAGAGACUGUUGCUCCAGCAAACAUUUUUAGAAGCACGAGUGAGUUGCGCAACAGGAAAAGUGCUCGGAGGUGACGCGUCUGGAGCCUGUCCCGAAACUGAUGUGGUUGCUGAUGCGACCGCAGAAUGGAGGUGAAACAUUUCUGUUCUGGUUUCACAGGACCACACACUGGCGGCUACACCUGCCUCCUCGCACCACCAAAAAGGAUCCCUGUAAGAUUUCUGGGCUGUUUUCAGCACAACAGGGACUUUAGACCCAGAUUUUUGUUCUCUGCACAAGCCGCUGCUGCUCCCCUUGUGAACUGAAGGUGCUUCGAUAAACAUUCUGAAAGGUCAGCUAUUUUCACUGUGUCUGUGGCUUGCAUAAGAACCUCAACAUCCUCUGCUGCAAAGAGCAGUGUUAGGAACUUCCUACUGCCACGCUGAAUCACAAUAGCUUCCCACAGCAACCAGUGGUAAAAAUAAACUGGGCAAGGGGAAGUGGACAGCUUCUGCUGUUCCGCUUUCUUGGGCACACUUGAGUCACAAAAAAAGCGAUGUAGAACAAGACAUUUAUUUUGCUGAUGCCAAUGAAAUCCAUGAAUGGUUCAGA